RNAcentral lists this ribosomal RNA (301 nucleotides) under uncultured bacterium. Its description in RNAcentral is "partial 16S ribosomal RNA". It matches the Rfam family "Bacterial small subunit ribosomal RNA", at positions 509 to 807 of the family's 1533-position model. The record is from RNAcentral.
CAGUAGCCACGGUAAUACGGAGGGUGCAAGCGUUAAUCGGAAUUACUGGGCGUAAAGCGUGCGUAGGCGGUUCGUUAAGUCUGUUGUGAAAGCCCCGGGCUCAACCUGGGAAUGGCAAUGGAUACUGGCGAGCUAGAGUGUGUCAGAGGAUGGUGGAAUUCCCGGUGUAGCGGUGAAAUGCGUAGAGAUCGGGAGGAACAUCUGUGGCGAAGGCGACUAUCUGGGCCAACACUGACACUGAGGCACGAAAGCGUGGGGAGCAAACAGGAUUAGAUACCCCAGUAGUCCCUGUCUCUUAUAC